UACAGAGGAUGCAAGCGUUAUCCGGAAUGAUUGGGCGUAAAGCGUCUGUAGGUGGCUUUUUAAGUCCGCCGUCAAAUCCCAGGGCUCAACUCUGGACAGGCGGUGGAAACUACCAAGCUGGAGUACGGUAGGGGCAGAGGGAAUUUCCGGUGGAGCGGUGAAAUGCGUAGAGAUCGGAAAGAACACCGGUGGCGAAGGCGGCGAUCUGGGUCGAUACUGACGCUGAGGUGCGAAAGCGUGGGGAGCAAACAGG
RNAcentral lists this ribosomal RNA (253 nucleotides) under uncultured bacterium. RNAcentral describes it as "partial 16S ribosomal RNA". It matches the Rfam family "Bacterial small subunit ribosomal RNA", at positions 524 to 776 of the family's 1533-position model. The record is from RNAcentral.